RNAcentral lists this small nucleolar RNA (220 nucleotides) under Arabis alpina (gray rockcress). RNAcentral's name for it is "snRNA ENSRNAG00050206883". Lineage: Eukaryota; Viridiplantae; Streptophyta; Magnoliopsida; Brassicales; Brassicaceae. The record is from RNAcentral.
AGCCUGUCAGACCGCCGUGCGACCACACCGGCAAGGAUAAGACCGAGCCGAGUAACGAUCCUCUACAGCACCGGACCGAUCUAAGGAUUGAUCUUGGCCGUUAAUCACGCUCUAGCCGCACGGUCAUGGUUCAUCAACCAGGGUUAAGGGCCUGUCUCCUUAGAAAUCAAGGAUACAGAGGUACGAGCCUAUAGAACAGAUCCUGUUCAAGUAAGGUCGU